This 253-nucleotide ribosomal RNA is filed under the name uncultured bacterium. RNAcentral describes it as "partial 16S ribosomal RNA". It matches the Rfam family "Bacterial small subunit ribosomal RNA", at positions 524 to 776 of the family's 1533-position model. The record is from RNAcentral.
UACAGAGGUCUCGAGCGUUAUGCGGAAUCACUGGGCUUAAAGCGUGUGUAGGCGGACCGGUAAGUACCUUGUGAAAUCCCACAGCUUAACUGUGGAACUGCUUGGUAUACUGCCAGUCUUGAGCCAGCUAGGGGCUACCGGAACAAAUGGUGGAGCGGUGAAAUGCGUAGAUAUCAUUUGGAACGCCAAUGGUGAAAACAGGUAGCUGGGGCUGUGCUGACGCUGAGACACGAAAGCCAGGGGAGCAAACGGG